UACGGGAGGCAGCAGUGGGGAAUAUUGCACAAUGAGGGAAACCUUGAUGCAGCCAUGCCGCGUGUGUGAAGAAGGCCCGAGGGUUGUAAAGCACUUUCAAUUGUGAGGAAGAUUAAGUAGCUAAUACCUGCUUAGUUUGACGUUAACUUUAGAAGAAGCACCGGCUAACUCUGUGCCAGCAGCCGCGGUAAUACAGAGGGUGCAAGCGUUAUUCGGAAUUACUGGGGGGAAGCGCGCGUAGGCGGACUGUUAAGUCGGUUGUGAAAGCCCUGGGCUCAACCUAGGAACUGCAUCCGAUACUGGCAAUCUAGAGUUUAAGAGAGGGAAGUGGAAUUCCAGGUGUAGCAGUGAAAUGCGUAGAUAUCUGGAGGAACAUCAGUGGCGAAGGCGACUUCCUGGCUUAAAACUGACGCUGAGGUGCGAAAGCUUGGGUAGCGAACGGGAUUAGAU
This 450-nucleotide ribosomal RNA is filed under the name uncultured Gammaproteobacteria bacterium. RNAcentral's name for it is "SSU rRNA". It matches the Rfam family "Bacterial small subunit ribosomal RNA", at positions 340 to 783 of the family's 1533-position model. The record is from RNAcentral. Lineage: Bacteria; Pseudomonadati; Pseudomonadota; Gammaproteobacteria.